GAGUCUUUUAAUUUGCAGUCAAGUUUUUUUUUAUAUUCUCUUUAAUUUCUCUAUUGUUCGAAUGUGUGCUGUUGGAGAUAGAUGGAGAGUUAAUGUAAGUAUUACUGUCCAUUCAGUGAUCUGGAGGCUCAGCUGCUUGGAGAUGAAGAAGAAGCUGGUGUUACAGGCACUCACAUCAAGAGAUCACACCAAGUGUAUUCUAUAUCUGGUGCCUAUUGUUGCCUGCCAUAUAAUUCUGUCCAGUUUCUUGAAGCAUAUACUUUGAAAAAGGUUCCUGCUUGAUCAGGAUACAUUCUCCCACCUGCUUGGCUUUUUAACUGAUGCAGCCUCUGUCCUUCCAUUGUAGAUGCUUUUACACAAUGCUGAUCAAUCACAGUAUGUGAGUGUCCAAAUAUGUGUACCCUGUCUUGGCCAAUGUACUCUCCUACCUUCUUCCUUCCAUGUUGGAGUGUAUUGGCUGAAAAAGAUAUGAAGCUACGUGUCUCUUUGGGAUGGAGCGGAGAUCCUGUCUAUCCUAAUGUGUCCUACAGAAAUACUCCUUGUUGUCUGCAAUCAAGUGGUUUUUCUCACACAGCACAUUUUUAAAUUAAGACCAUUGCUGGCACAUUUUGCAUUACUGGCAUUGUUUGGAAGCAUAAUCCUGAAGCAUGUUUGUGGACACCUUAAACCACAAGUCCCAUCUCAGACAAUCAAUGCCUUCUUUAAAGAGCUGCUCCUUGAACUACUCCCAGGAUAUAAGGCUGGAGUCAAAGUCUUUCUUUAUUAUUUGAUCCAAUGA
This 778-nucleotide long non-coding RNA is filed under the name Callithrix jacchus (white-tufted-ear marmoset). Its description in RNAcentral is "lncRNA (ENSCJAG00000053726.2)". The record is from RNAcentral. Lineage: Eukaryota; Metazoa; Chordata; Mammalia; Primates; Cebidae.